AGUGAACGCUGGCGGUAGGCCUAACACAUGCAAGUCGAACGGCAGCACAGUAAGAGCUUGCUCUUACGGGUGGCGAGUGGCGGACGGGUGAGGAAUACAUCGGAAUCUACUUUUUCGUGGGGGAUAACGUAGGGAAACUUACGCUAAUACCGCAUACGACCUACGGGUGAAAGCAGGGGAUCUUCGGACCUUGCGCGAUUGAAUGAGCCGAUGUCGGAUUAGCUAGUUGGCGGGGUAAAGGCCCACCAAGGCGACGAUCCGUAGCUGGUCUGAGAGGAUGAUCAGCCACACUGGAACUGAGACACGGUCCAGACUCCUACGGGAGGCAGCAGUGGAGAAUAUUAGACGAUGGGCGAAAGCCUGAUCCAGCCAUACCGCGUGGGUGAAGAAGGCCUUCGGGUUGUAAAGCCCUUUUGUUGGGAAAGAAAAGCAGCAGGUUAAUACCCCGCUGUUCUGACGGUACCCAAAGAAUAAGCACCGGCUAACUUCGUG
Molecule: ribosomal RNA, 492 nt
Filed under: uncultured bacterium
Lineage: Bacteria
Description: partial 16S ribosomal RNA
Rfam family: Bacterial small subunit ribosomal RNA
Source: RNAcentral